Molecule: long non-coding RNA, 22218 nt
Organism: Sapajus apella (tufted capuchin)
Lineage: Eukaryota; Metazoa; Chordata; Mammalia; Primates; Cebidae
Exons: 2
Source: RefSeq, a predicted model, not a curated record
UUACCUUUUUCAUAUUCUUUACUCCUUUCUUUUUUUUUUUGCAUGAGCCACUCAUUUUACCUAGAGAUGAGAUUUUAUUUUGUUCCCUAAUAAGUUGAAUAAAAUAGAACUAGAAAAUUUAGAAAGCAGCUUCUAUUAUCAAAAUAUCAGAUUGAUUUAAAAAGCCAGGUGUGAAUAGUAUGGUAUAAUUUUUGUAAGAAAGAAUAAGAAAUAAGAAUACACAGAUACUUAUACACAAACACAAUAUGGAUAACACAAAAACUAAAUAAAUAGUUUUAUUAUUAAGGAUGGGUAGCUAUAAAGUAGAAACAAUAAUAAAGGGAAUGAUACUUUUCUAAGUUUACCUUUCAAUAUAGCUUUUAUUUUAAAACUAUAUUAAUAUUUUACAUAAUAAAAACUAAUUUAGUAAGUAUUCAUUCCCAAAAUUGAAUACAUGUAGAAAAACAUGCUCAAAUUUCAGACCAAAUUUAUAAUGUGAACACAAAAAGCAAACCCAUAAUUAAUUCAAGUAAAUUUUAGGUACUGUACUAACCGCAUUUCACCUUCAAUGAGAUAUUUUCUAAAGAAAAAAAGAAACUGUUGUUAGUAGUAAAAUGGUUUUAAAUUAUUUUGUAUGCAUUGUAGGAAGUAAACAAAUGAGCAGGUAUUCUGGUGUUUUGAGGGAAUGGAGCUUUUGUUUUAGGAGAAUAGGAAAAAAAUAUGGAAAGAAAGAGAACUCUGUUGUACUGGAUUAUAACUGGGGGUAUGUGUAUGAACUCAUGACUUUAUGAAAACAUAUUUACUUGCUGGUUACAAUGAAAAAGUUUAGAAGCAAUCACACUCAGUAGCAAUGAAUGUACCUAUUAUCCUGAUCUUGGUUUCUAACUACCAUUUCCCAAAGGAACCAAGGACCCCUGGAAAACUGUUUGAUGUUAAGUAGGGGACAAUGAAGUUCAAGGUGAGCCUGAGCAUUGAGUUGCACCAAAAAGUAAAGCUGUGCUCAAACACUGAUAGGAAAAUGUCAGAAACAAAGAAGUCAGCUUGAAAGAACUUCCAUUGGCCAAAUUUGAGACAAAUGCAAUAUCAAAACAGAUAAUGGCAGGAAUGAAUCCAAUGAUUCAUAGUCAUAGAUUUGCUUUUAAAACUGUGAGUAAGCCCAUAAUGGUACCAAAAACAAAGUUGGUGAAUGGAGAGAAGAAAGGAAACUUCAUCUCUCUAGAAGCAUAGCAAAUCAUAAAUGUAGAAAGAAUGUAAAAUGAUAAAUUUCUAAGUCUGUCAAUCAUAGUUGUAAUAAUUCAAGCAAAACUCAUCAAAGCAUACUAAAACUAUUGUAUAAAAUAUUGGUCUUUAUAAUCAUUUAAUUAAUUAACUAUGUAUUAAUUUCAAAGGGGACAUGGUGCAUUUACAAUGGAGAAAUCUGGCAGCAUCACCUUAACUAAAUGAUUAUACUUACAAUCACCAAGUUUGACAAACCGGCAACAUAUACCACCUGAUGUGAUGCACUAGAAAGGACAUAACAUUCUGCCAAAAAUGUUUAACUUCAUUCUAGUCAUGAAGAAGCAAUUAAAUCCAAAUGGAGAAACAGUCUGCAAAAUAAAUAGUAAGUUACAAUUUUUGUAAGAAAGAAGAAGAACUAAGAAGACACACAUACAUAUACACAAACAUUUGUGAAAGGAAACAAUAUGGAGAACACAAAAGCUAAGAAAUUGUUUAAACAACAAAAGAAACUACACUAGUCAACUAAAGAAAUUUAUUCCUCAAAAACAUCAGUCUUAAAUUGUAAAAAAAAAAAAAAGAAAAAGGCUAGACACAGCUCUAGAUUUAAAAUUACUAGAGACAUGACAACUGAAUGCAAUGCAUAAUUCUUGAUUGAUUUUGCAUUUUCAGAAGUUAUAAUAGACAUUAUUGGGACAAUUUGGGGAAUUUGAAUGUGGAAUGUAUAUUACAUGACAUGGUACAAAUCAAGGUUAAAAUUUCCUGAAAAAGAUCUGCUCUGUUGUGGAUAUGUAGUAGAAUGACCUUGUUCUCAGGAGACGACUUAAUAGUGCACCAAAAUGAGAGAAAGAAAAUGUAACAGAAUACCAACAAUUUGUGAAUCUAGGUAAAUAGUAUCAUGUAUUCAUGGUAUUACUAGAGCAACUUUUCUGUAUGUUUCAAAUUUUUCAAAAUAAAAUGUUGGAUAAAGAAAGGAGAGCGCAAAAAAAAAAUGAAGCUGUAUUGGUUGCAAGCAGAACUGGUUGCCAGAAUGUUGUGAUAGACACCUUCACUUAUCACUUAUUGGGCUGGGCAAGAGCCUGCUAAUAGGCACAUUAAUUAAUUAAUUAGCCUCUGCAGUUCGGCUUUCUUCCCAUCCCCCAGCCUCACCAGGAUGUACUUAGGUACAAUAAUGGAGGAGGAAAAUGGAGAGUGUUCUCUGUAUUACCAUCUCAGAGGGAUAUUCCCGCUUCAAGCACCUCUCCAGAGGACUAAUGGAUGACAAAGCCUUAUUACCAUUCUGGGAUAAGUUCAAUUUUUUUUUAUGAUAGUAAUUUGUUACACCAGUUUGCCACUUGCCUGCUGCUUCCUUGUUAAUCCAAUAAUCUAUAUGAGAAAAGCAAUUUGAUGUCCCUCCUUCCCAUCUGCCACCCAUCAGCCAAUCUAUAUCUUAACUAUCAGUGAUUUAUUAAUGGCAUCUGCAUUAAGCACAUCCCUGCUCCAUUUGCGCCCUCCUUCUUGGCCUCCUGCUUACGUACACUCACUGGAUGUGUUAGAAGGUAAGCUCAGCAUGGAGAUUAAAAGCAACAAUGAAAUAGUAAGCUGAACCACAGUUGCUGGAUUUGCUUCUUUCAAACAAUUAACAUGUAUGCACACCCACACACUAAGCAGAUCCACUUCAGAGCCAGCCAUAAGAAAUGCGAGAAACUAGGAUAUUUUUCAUUAUGCUUUCUACUCAGUGCUUAACUUUAUUUCUUUAGCUGGUUGAAGUUAGUCAUUGACCAUUGUGCGCCAUCUGAAUGCUGCACUUCUCACCCCAACUUCCUGGCUGCCCAUUCACAUGAACUGAGGGUCUGCCUGAGCCCUGGAUCCUGAUUUCUUUCCUGCAGAGACAAAAGGAGCAGGUAGCCAUGGGCUGGAUGAGCUGAUGCAGCUCUGAAGAAAGGACUUUGUUUUUGAAGAUGUGAGCCUGGUCUCUGCAUAUUAGGGCAUUACCUGUGAUUGCUGAGCUUAAUUUUCCUCAGGUCAUUCUGGCCUACCUAGAAGAUCAAUGACUUUACAUGACACUUCCAGAAGAGGGACAUAAUGGAAUUGGGUGGGGAGAAAAUGAUGGCACACAGCAGUGUCGCUGUGUGUUAUCAGUUAAAUAUAGCAUUCACUUAGAUUCUGUGCUAUUCGUUACCUAUUCGAAGCUUGAUACACAUGGCCCAACCUAAAACCUAUGGUAAGAGAAGAAACAUGGACACAGGAUGGAAAUCUCAGGAACCCACUUCUAUUGCUAUUUGCAGGUUCCACAUAGUUGGAGUCCAUGUUGCAUAGUGGUUAGCUCACUGGUAAGUUUAAACUCUGGUUGUGCAAUGUGCUACCUGUCUGCUCUAUAGUAAGUUUGUGAACCUGUUCAAGUCUGUUACUUCUGUUAAAUGAAAUCCCUCUUGGCAUCUCAUAGGGUCAUGAUCAACGGUAAUAAUAAUUAAAUUAUAAAUGGUUGGUCUCCAUUUCUCAUCAAAUGUAAUCUUAUUUUUACUUUGGUAUUGGCUCCCUCCCCCCCUUUUUUUUAAACAACUUUUUUCUUUUACAUUUGUGUCCUGGGUACAUUUGCCGUGCUUUCUUGAUUCUGUUUGCUUUGAGUUGGCUUUUACCUGGCUUGUUUGGCUGUUUUCAAGUUUCCAUCCCCUAAGGGUUCUAAUAUCUCCAUUCUAGACGGUGGCUCUGAACUCUCUCUCUCUGUCUGCUGGAGGUGAGCUGCCAAUAAAUUUAGAGAUGCUUUCCUGAGCUAUUAUGUUUUAAGGAAAGGAAAGUGAACAAAAGGCAAUCAUCCUGACUCUAUAGUCUACAUUCCUUUCCUUCCUUAAAAUCAAGGGUGGCAUUUUAAGUUGUCAUCCUCUCAAACUCACCUAGAAAUGUGUCUGGUAAGACGAGAGUUCUGAACCUGAUGUACUGUAUUCCAUUUCAGAAGUGUCUGCAACUCAUGAUUUUGCACAGCUGUUGUCGAUACAAGUAUUUUACCCUCACAACUAAAUGCCAGUUGCCUAAGGGUAGGAGUUAUCUGAUUAUAUAUCUAUUCCCACCCAUAUAACUCAGCUUGGUGCAUUGUACCCAGUAAGUGCUCAAUAAAUGCUUGUGGAACAAGUGACUAUGGUGUUAACUUUGUGAGCAGGGUAUUAUAUUUUGCUAUGAUUCCUUGUCCUGGAGUUACUUUCCCUCAAAACUCUGUUGUAAAACCUUUUCUGCUGUCCAAGAGUUUCAUUUCUUUCUAAAGAAAUCAUCCCCCUCCAUCUUUUCUUAAUUAACAGCAUUUUCCAGUACUUUUUUUCCCUUCUCUGUGACAGUUUCCCACUAUUGUCUGUUUGCAGCUGUUACAUGGUUAAGAAACUGAGUAGACAUGCUAAUGAGUGAUUGGUGUGUGGGAGGAGCACCUCUAAAUUCUCCUGGACUGGCCAGGCAGCCUGUUCCCACUUACUCUGUCUAAAAUAAGCUCUAGUUGGCAGCCAGGGAUUGGAUUAUUUGCAGUUUCUUUCUGUGGAGGAAGUUCUUGCUUGGACUAGCUAUCUGUGUUUCUAUUUAGGAACAAAUAAACAUGCUGCUACUCUCAAACUCUUCCUGUCUACACUAAACUUCAAAUUCCCUUCUCCACUCUUGCUCAUAGACUUGUCUAAACCACUGGAAACCAGCUUUGGUUUAUGUGUUUAUUUCAGUUAGUCAAUUUAGCAAAUUGUGUGUGUGUGUGUGUCAGGGUAGAGGGGCGGCUACGGUGGAUAGUUGGUCCACAUGCAGUCUCUUGCUACAUUGAUCUUAACUGUAUUCUCUAAAAACUAAGAGACAUUGUGUGACUGAAUGGAUUUUGGUCCUUGCAGUUGUCUUUACAACUCUUAUGACUGAAAUUGAACACCUUCAUGAGGGAAUUUUGAAUACUUUAUGAUUGACUUUUUUUUUUUUCUUCCCAAGAGCUUCGAAAAAAUGAUAUUAGUAGCCUGUUUUCCAAGAGAGGUUACAGAGGUGUCUGGAUUUCCUAGUGUCUGGGAUGAUAAUCUGUGGUACUAAUCUGGGAUUCUCAUUCUGAGUCAUGUAUUUGAGCCAAUAGGUAGGAAUCAAGCUAGUUAAUCCCCCUUCAGUAUGUUUUGCAGCUGUUAGAAUUUCAUGACCGUUACAAAAAGACAUGGAGAAUCUCACUGAUCAGAGAGCAAGCUGGAGGGAACAGGUAGGAGGCCUAGAGAGAAGGAAGGUUUUGAAAUAGACAUAGGGUGGUUGCCAGCUAUUUUGCUAAUAGGGGCAUGGUCUCAAUGGUAGAGACACUUUGAGCUUUCCAACCUAUCCUUAAGAGUAGCCUUCUUUUCCCCUGGAACUUCUAAGGUGACUUUUUUUUUUUUUAAAUCAAAGAAUAGCCUGAAGGGGCCAUGCUGAAAGAAGUGGCUCACAUUAGACUUAAGAUAGCAGGUUAAGUGCUUUCUAUUUUGGUGGCUUUUCAGAACAUAACCACUUUGUCCAUUGAAGACAAGUAGACCAUAUGGAAGAAACUGGAACUGUGAAGUUUCUUUGACAUAUCAUCUACCCUGCUGCUCUCUGAGUACAGAAGAUGGCAUCAGAUGUGGGAUCCGAAGUAGAACUUCUAACGACCCACAGAAGCACGGAGUGACCAAGUGAGGUACCUGCAGGACCCGUUUGUGUUCAUCGAUCUCUCAGAGCAGCUGGGGAUCAUGGUAAGUUCUCUCUCAGAUUUUGGAGCUCCACAGAUUUGUGUUUUGAGCUUUCUGAGUUUCUUUGAACAAAUUUCUGAUCCAAAUUGGAUUUGGAAGUCGCAACAGAAACUGGACUGGCUUUCGGAUUGGAUUUGAUCCAGUAAUUAACUGGCUUGGAUCCAGUUAGAAACCUCUUGCAUCUGACUGGGGGAAGAAAGAAACUGGGAGUAAAUGGUAAUAUUGCAGGGGGUAUAAAAUUUAGCUUUUGGAAACUCGGGGAUUUUGGUGUUCUGUCCGUUCAUUUUAUUUUUCUUGCUUGCUUAGGUAGGAAAAAGUCAUAGGUUAUCUUAAUCAAGGGAAACUGGGAGCAAAGCCAAUAUCUGAGGUGAAAAAUGGGAUCCUUAAUUUCUGAAAAACUGAGUUCCUUCCAGCUUAUACAUGCAUAAGUGUUAGGCCCUAAAAGGAGCAAAGUCUUACAGAAAUGGCAAAAUCUUACUAAAGGUAUCUUAAAAUGGAACAUUCCAAAAGAAAAACAAUGAACUAAAGUGCAUUUGAAAAUAAUUAAUCCCAAAUUAAUCCCAAAUUAAUCUCAUCUAGGGAUGCCUAUUGAUAUGCAGAAGCUUCUAAAAAGAUUUUAGUCUUUUUAUUUAAAGACUGACGAAAGGAAAAUAAAAAGCCUAAGUGACUAAUUGAUUAAAACAAUUCAAUCUGCUAAAUUUUUAGCUUAGUUACUACCCUAAUCCAAAGGUAAUAGACUGAAGCAUCUAUUGGCUGACUUUGGGUAAGUAAUGGUGUACAUUUUACCUUGGUAAAGGGUGGAAUUGGGUUAGAAGCCCUUGCCUCAGUAAAGUCCCUCUUGGUAAAAAAUGGAUUUGACAUUAUGGGAUGUUAACCCCUAUUCUUUUUACAUUAAUCUGCCUUGCGCUCUUUGCUGACAGCAAUGGAUGGCAGGAUUAAGCAUGUACAGGACCACGGAACAUGGAGAAAUUUUUCUCCCCAAAGGGAAAAACUUGAGAGCUGAUGGUACUGCUGGAAAAGAUCCCUUUGCAACCAAUAAGUGGCCGCCUAAACUUUUGAUUCAGUAUCGUCGAAAUGGAUGGGUCUUUCUCUGGCCUCUCUGAGCUCUUCCUUCCCCACCCUGCCACAGGCAAUGCUGCUCUCUCUGUUGCUGUCUCUCUGCGCAAACCAGAUGUGGGAACGGUAAAAGUCAUUAACUUUUGCAAAGUUUUAAUUAAUGGGAAAAAGGAUUCAUGAGACUAGUCUUGAGCUAUAGCGAAUCUGGUAUGCUUUGUGCUAUGAAUUUGUCUUUCUGUGUUGCUCUAUCAUGAAGUGGGAUACCUUAGGAUAGAACCUGAGCUUAGGACCACAAAAGCUUUCUGUUCAAGAUGGCCCAGCAAGCUGGUCAGUAACAAACUUUGCCGUAGAGGUCCCUGAAACAAACAAAAAACUGGAUGAGGUCUCCAUCUUGUUUUAUGUUUUUGGGAGCUUGGCAUUAUAACCACGUGGUGGUACUUUCUGUUUGUUUCUGCCAUCUGGGGAAUAGGAAUUUGGAGAUUCAUUUUAUAGUUAGCUCUAUAAAUUAUCUUGAUCAUUAAAAUCCAUUGCAAGCACAAAAGUGACUGCUCUAGGCUCCUGGGAAGAGCAAUGGAAACUGCCCAGUGCUGUAGCUUAGUAGCUAAGGUUCUGUCUUUUCACAGUGAUGGCCUGGGUUCAGGUUCAAUUUCUGGCAUUAAGAAUGAAUCCUUUCUGGUUUGCUAUCUGCAUGACCUUUAGCAUUUGUUGAUUCUCUUCCCCUCCAUGAACCGUCUUGAAUUUUUCUUUCUGUGAGCUACCUUUGGAGAUUCUAGAUCUUCUAAAAUUGCUAACUACCUCUUUAAAAAUACCUGAUACACUCGUAGUUAAGUUAUAACCUUCAUUGAGGCUUGUCACUUUCACCUGUGAGAUUAGCUUUGGUCAAGUUUAAAAGCCAGAAAUAUUGGUCACUUGGCCCGGCUAAAGUAGAGUAAUAACAAAUUUUAAAAGGCUUUUUUUUUUUUUUUUUCCAGAGAGCACUGUGGUUAAAAGUCAGCUUAAUUAAAAGUGGAUAUCCAAGCUAUACAUACAUUUUUAAGAGAUUUUUAUGUUUUUCUCUUCUUAAAUCUUGUUUUCCUGGGAAAAAGAUUUUUUCUUCUCAUCUGACUGAAUUGUUUUUCUCCAUUAUGUUUUACUACUCUUAAUGCACACAUGAGAGGACUUAAGAUAUCUUCUAUUAGCCUAGGAUCAAACAGAGGAGGGACUAUAGAUCCUGUUUUGGGAAAAACCCCUGUUUUCCUCAUGAAACUCCAGGAAUUGAAGGUGGAUAGAUCCCACUCAAACUCUAAGGCUCUGUUCUGUUUUGCAUUGUGUUAUCUGAUGGUUUUGAGUUUUGAGUGAAUCAGAAAUUACUUUGCGUAAUGAAAGAGCUUUGGUGCAUAUAACCAGGGGGAGGAAAUACACUGUUAACGAUGGCUAUUGAUAGUUAUGAAGGAAUACUUUAUUCUUUGCACCUUUGGAUCAAAGAGGCAUGCUAUGCUCUUGGCUACCUAGAAGCCAUGGAAAUGUCCCCACCCACACUGAGAUAAGACUCCCAUGGGGGAUGGCUUAAUCACAAGGUGGGCUGAUCAACUUUGGGUUGCUUUGCAAUAAAAUGAAUGGUAAAAGCAUUGUACCAUCUUCUCCCAUAGCAUUUCCCUCUUUUUGGGGAUCCAGUAUGCAAUAUAAAAAUGGAACCCUUAAUUUUGGGGAUCUGUUUUUGCCUUCCAGCUGUGCCUGCUUAUUAGGCCCUAUAAAAUACAUGUUUUCCUAGCCCAGUUGCUCUAAGAGUCCACCCUAAAGCCAGUAAGCCAAUUAAGAAGCUUAAAAACUGGCAAAUGAAGAAUCCUAAAACUACUGGAUCUUCUGUGUGCCUUUGGAGCUAUAUAUGUGUUGUAUGUGUUGUAUUUAUAUAAAGAGCUCUAAUUAAUUGGCUUAAAGAAAAAUAGGCACUUAAAUAUUUUGUUAGAAAAAUAAAAACUGUAAUACUUUUUAGUUCACAUGGCUUUAGUAAUCUUUGGGAAAGAAAAAAGAUUAUUGGUAAAAUGAAGACAUUUGGUCUAAAUUAGGCAGGUCAGAUACUAGGUUUGCUAAAUGCUUUAAGGUCAUAAACUGCAUCUUUGGCUUUUGAACAUUGUUCAACUUGUUCAACUCACCUGUUUACAGCUAGGUAAGGCUUGGGGACAUGUGGAAUUAGCCAUGUCCCUAGCUAUGCUGGAAAGAGUCAGACCUUAUUUGUACUUCUGUCUGGUGUCCUAGGCUCUAAACUCAGUACAUACUUAAAGUCACUUGCUAACCAGAUUUUUCACCAAAAGAUGCUAAGAGUUUACAACCUAACAUGUACUUGAAACUACUGAAGAAACAGUUUUACUUGCAAGGUGUAUAAGGAAAAUAAAAUGUACUUUUAGUAACGGAUUAUAAGAAGGCAUGGGAAUGUAAAUUUUUGCUUAGUUUAGAGGGUUCAAGGAUUGUUUUAAAUUAGAUAGGAUAAAACUGAGCAAAUUGUGAAAGAUUUGUGAAAAAUUAAUCCUGUAAAAAAUUCUGUGUAGAACUAGGGCUAAGUUUAAAGAGGUGUUACUCAGUUUUUCUAUAAAUUGAACAUUAGAAUAAAAGCACAACAGGGUUUCCUUUGAGCACUGAUUUCCUCCUUAAAUUUGUAAAGGGUUAUAAAAGGUUUAUGAGAAUCUCAUCUUAUGGUCAAACUGGUUAAGAUUGGAUUGAUUUGUCUGUAAGUUUUUAUUAAAGAUUAAGGUUGACAUUAAUAGUACAUUAAUGCAAGGGUAAAAUUUGUCUUUCUCUCUCGAACAAGAUCUUCAUGUAAUAUUAAAGGAUAAUGAAAUAUUUUUGUUUGCCUUUUGAAUGAACUACCAAAAAAAGAAGGGAAAGAUAAAAGAUCGAUGGUUAGGGAAGCUAAGUCUCCCCUCUGUCAGUGAGCAAAAGGCUUUUUUGCAUUUUUAAAAUUUUUGAGUCAUCAUUUUGACUAAAUGAAUAACUUAUGGUGACCUUGAAUUCUAUUUCAUAAUAUCAAGUGUUUUAAACCUUUAAAUUUGAUAGGCUUCCCAAAAUCAAGUUUCAGCUUUAAAAUUGUCUUUUCUGAUCUCUAACUUUGGAAUGCUACAGAGGACCUCAGAAGCAUCCAAAAGAGAAGUAAACAGGAUUAUUUGACAUGUUAAAUUACAUGGAAAGCAUUGUUAAAAUAAAAAAUAAUGUUUAACUUUCUUCAGGUAUAUGUUAGUGAAUAAUGUUAAUAUAUGUUCCGGAAUUCUAUGAGAUUUCUAAAAUUCUAAUAUGUCUGGCUAUAUGCUAUCAAUCAUAAUAAUGGUUAUUAUGUUAAAUUAUUGUAAGCCACAGAAACAACUAAAUUUCCUUGUCAGUUGUGUCUUUAACUAUGACUAUUCAAAAUAGUUUCUACAGUUAACUGCUUAAUGUUGAUGAAGUUUCUGAAAACUUCACAAGCACCCAAAAUCCUAGAAUAUGGUGUCUUUUAGGAGGUUCAUGAAAGAAUGGAAAGGACCUUGAAAAGUUCUCAUGAAAUACAGGUUUCUGAUGACUUUAGAAUCAUAUCAUAUAGACUGGGUAAGAAUUCCUGGAACUUUAAUGAAAAGACUGGUUUGUAAAAUUGCUGACCCAUGUAGAACAAAAAUUAAUUGAAUAUCAAGAAAAUAUUUUGCCAGAUUUUCAUGCUAAAUCAGCCAAUACUGAAGUGGUUUAGAUAUACAAUUUGAAUGAACUCCGUGGUCUAAGUCAAGUUACCUGUGAUAACCUAUCCAUUAUCAGUGUUAUGCACCCAAAUUGGAGAAACAACUGAUAUUCAAAAGGACAUAAGUCUGUUGUUAACUAAACAUGGACUCAUGGAGAACCAGGAUGACCUCCUUGUUCUUCCUGAGUCCUUAAAGCUUUUGUUAUUAAAAGUUCUGCAUUUUAUAACAUAUCAUAAAAAAGAUAAAGUGAUCCAAAUUAAAUAUAUAUUGGUGUGGUGACUCUAAAUUGCUAAAAUAAUUUAUGACCAAUGUUUGGUAUGUCAAACCCAUAUUCCUGGGAAGAUAAGCAAAUCUUCAGGUACACACAGCUAUCUGAUGGGCCAUUUAAACAUUUACAGAGGAAUUUCAUUCAAUUGUCAUUUUUAGUGCAUGUUUUCUGUAUUACAGAUUUCCCUUGCGAGAGGACUGAUAUUAUAGCAGUAGAUUAUUAUGCCACAGUGUAUUUUUAUGAGGUAAAGAAAGCUUUUUAUGGUUCACUGACUCAGGACCAUCAACCCUUUCACAAUCUAGAACCCAAACAUUAGAUUUUCUGAGACCAUUAGAGAGAGACUGCCCUUGCCAUUCACACUGCAGCAAAACUUCAAGACGUGAACCUUGGGUUCAUAACCUCACAAAUGAGAAGGGUCCCUCCACACUCUUGGAAUUGUAUACCCAUUGGAACCCUUAAGGUAAAGCUAACUAGGGAAGCUUCUCCCCAGAAAAAGAUGGCUUCCUUGAUGAGAAGGGCUUUUUCCAAGAUCACGUAUCAAGACUUCUCUACUAUCAUGAGACUCUUAUCUUUGAAUAUUUUUCCCUUGCUUAUCCCUCUAUGAACAAUAAUAGUGAAAAUGGACUCUGUUGUGUGUUCUUAUGGGGUAUAAUUUUAUUUAUAAAGGAUUUUGCAGCGAGCCUUAUAUAUGGAUAAUCUUACAGCCUAAUAGAUGAAAGAUGAAGACCCAAUGUAGGUGAGAAACGUUAAUGGUACAUACAUUGCCUCAUGAUCAGUCAGAAACAGAACAUUGUUCACCCCUCUUAACUCACAUCCUGGGUUAAAGAGAACAUUUCCAGGAGGCCUUCACUCUUCUAGAAGGUCAUCAUUCGGUAGCUCCUUUUUCUCUGAUUUGAAAUAAAAGAAACAAUGAUUAGAAAUAUAUCCCUCAUGAUACUCUCUAUUGCAGAGUCUACUAUAAAGGCUAUGGUUACACAACAGACUUUAAUUUCUCUUGUGAAAGUUAUGCUAAAUAAUAGAAUUGACUAAAUAGAUGGGUGCGGUGGCUCACACCUGUAAUCCUAGCACUUUGGGAGGCCGAGGUGGGUGGAUCACCUGAGGUCAGGAGUUCAAGAAUUGACUAAAUAGAAAAGUAUCUGUGCGGGUGCCAGCACUUUCAGCCUAUGGAGAAAUAGAAAUACAUCAAAUGUAGGUUAUAGAGAUUCAGUUGUAGGGAAUUAACAAAGAGACUGCUUAGUUAAGUGAGUAGAAUCUUCAUAUAGCUAACUUUUGAUCUGUUUGACUUUAGGUAGUUUGGCUUAUUGGGGACCCUGGGUAAGGAGCAUAUUCCAAACUCUUGGUACUAUCCUCCUGAUAGUCAUAAUAGUAGUCUCCCUGGUGGGCUGUAUUGUCUCAAAAGUUUUGCAUGUCUGCAUAAAGCCAUCUCUAGAAUAUCAAAUGGUCUCUCUUCAACUGGAAUGGCAAGAACUGAAAGAAAUGCAUGAUCAUGAGGACACGGUAACCUAUAAAUGACAUGCUGAGACCAGAAACCCAAAAUGAUGAUAACUGAGAGUAGUGCUACGACCUUAAGGUCGCACUCUCACCUAAGUGAGAACCUUACCAAUGAGGGAGAAUUUUUUAAACAAAAUUAUGGGAAGCCAUUGUUUUGGAUUGAGUGCAUGCACUAGGCCCCAGCAGACCAAACCAAAAUGGAUUCAGUCACACUAAAUGUGACAUAAUCAAACUAAAACUUAGGAAACACAGAGAUCCUAGAGCAGACCAGGUUUUGUUUUUCUCCUGUAAACAGACCACUCCAGCAUAAGGAGGUGAACCUCUACUCAGUCCUUGUUCCCAUCUUGCAAAGCUCACUGUUCUACUGUUUCCCAGUGGGUUUCAAAACCAAUGGUGAUAGUGACAUCAAUGACUAACGUUUUGGUAAUCUCUCAAAUUUUAGAAGAUGACCAAGCCUAAACUGCCUUCUUGCAUAUUUUAAGUUCAGCCUAAAGGUUUUCUGUACAACAUGAACUGUAACAAGUGGAGGUAUAAAUAGACCAUAGCCUACACUUGUGCCAGUCCCUGAGUUGUGGCCAACCGUGUUCAAAUAAGGCAAACAGUGAGCUGUACCCAAUCCACUUGUUUCUGUAUCUCGAUUCUGUUUUCUGUACAUCACUUUCCUUUUUCUCUCCAUAAAUCUUCUUCCACCACGUGGCUGCAUUGGAGUCUCUGAGCUUACUCUGGCUGGGGACUGCCUGAUUCACAAAUCGUUCAUUGCUCGAUUAAACUCCUUUAAAUGUAAUUUGGCUGAAGUUUUUCUUCUACAGGGCAUUAAUUUCAUCACUAUUCUCUAGGGAUAUUAUCAUUUUGAUUUUUGUCUUACUUCCAGUGCUUAAUUAGUAUACAAUUGAAUUGUCCUUAGAGGUUCUGAAUUCUACUAGAUCCUACCUGGAUACUAGCAUUUUCCUGUUCGUGUUUCAACUCUGGUUUCCUCCACUUUGAUUUAUCCAUCAAUAUGGUCAUCUUGAUCCUGUGAUGCCUCUUCAUUUAGGUUUAGAUUAGUGUUCUCAACUUAGUCUAUGCAUUGCAGUCACCAGGGGAGCUUUAUAAUACACUGCUUCCUGGACUCCCUUCCCAGAGAUUCUUAAUUCUGAGAGCAGCCUGGCUAAAAAAUCCAAAGUGCAGCCAGAUUGAAAAUGUUGGCCUAGAGCAACUCUAAAAUCUAAGAUGUCAAUGGGGAAGCAACAUGAAGUCUUGGUUACAACCUCUAUGGCUAAAUUACCUGGGUUUAAAUCCAGGCUCUACCAUGGAUUUCUGUGUGACCAUAGGCAACUACAUUUCUCGCACAUCAGAUUUAAUUGGGGUACAAUUCUAAUUUAUUUGUAAGUUGAGGUAUCUAUAUUUUGCAGUAUAAUUAUAAUUAUUCAUAUGGUUGUUGUAUGGAUUCAAUAAAUUAAUAUUAGAUAAUACUUAAACCAUGUUAUAGAAAUAUAAAGUAAAUAAAUGGACCAGCUACAGAACAUUAUUCUUAUCUCUUAAAUUCUUAGCUUCUCACUUUCCAACAGUUUGAACCCUGCCUUUUCUCUGAGUCCAUCAUUCCAUCCAUGGUUUUGUUUACUUUUGGAAUAUUCUAGACUCCAUAGUCCAUGAUUUAGUUCCUUUUUUUGCCAGCAUUCUCAAUUUCCUACCUCUGUGGUCAUUCUGAUGAUGCAAAUCACCCGUUGAAUUAUCCCUCAAUUUUGCAUCUCCACUCCUCAUUUGGACUAUUGAAUGCUGUUGAGACUAAGAUAUCAUUACAUAUUUAUGGGCUAGGGCCAUCACAGGUUCUCAGCACUACUCUGAAUUUUGUCAUGUGUCCCUGGCAGAAUCACUUCUCACAGUGAUUUCUCCAAACCUCUUUUUGCCAUACAAACCGUUUAUUGAGUCUCCUUUCCAUCUCAGGAAACAACUUUGCCUCCUACUUCUUUAAAAAGUUAGAGAUGACUUAUUUGUCUUUUUACAGAUAGAUAGGAGAUUCACUUGGACCCGGGAGGUGGAGGUUGCAGUGAGCCAAGAUCACACAACUGCACUCCAGCCUGGUGACAGAGUGAGACUCUUUCUCAAAAAAAAAAAAAAAGAAAAAAAGCUUCUCUUUGGCUUCUGAAAUUUUUCCUUCUGGUUCCCCUUCUAUGAUAUUUCUUUCCAGUCUUCUCUGUGGAAUUAUUUUCUUUUGUCCACUCAUUUAGGACUGAUGUGUCACAAUUAUGACCUUGCCUUUCUAAUCCUGGGUGUCCCCCUGCUACUUAUAUUCUGAAACGAUUGUGUCUAAACUGUGGUUCUGCAGCCUAGAACUCACCCUGAUCUCUACUUCUUUAACUACAACUACCCAAUAGAGCUUUUCCACGUGGAAGUCCUAAGGAAUCUCUAAAGCUGAAUUCACUUUCUUCUCCCCAAUUUUGUUUUCCUUCAAGUACUACUGAUUUUAGUAAUUAGUGAAUGGUUAUGUCAGUGACUGACUUCCUGGACAAAAAUCUAGGAAUCACUGCUGAUAUCAUCCUCAUGUUCACAUCAUAGUUUAGAUAAGCUCCAAGUCUAGUUGCUUCAACUUCUAUACCCUCUUUUAUCUGCCCCUACAUCCCAAUACCAAUCUGCAUUAUUAUUGUAUUAUCUCAGAAUUUGUUCUUUUAUUCAUCAAGCUUACUAUAAUUGUCUCCUAAUUUAUUUUCCCAUCUUUCUUCUUAUUUCUUCCAAUCCACUCUUCACAAUAGAAUUCUUUGCAAAACUCAUGUAAAAGGAAAUGUUUAUCUGUUUUUAAAAUGAUGAUUAAAUUUGUUUUCCCUUUUGCUUGAUACCACUAUAAAAAGUGAUUUGACCCACUCUGUAGGAAAGGAUGAAACCAUUUCAUCUCCUAGGAAAUGGAGACCAAGCAAUUAUGCUUUGUGAAGAUACAGUCCCUCCUACACUGAAGAAAAAGAAAGCCAAUUUUUCUCAUGCCAAUGGUUUGGACUGUUUAUAGUUUUAAUCCACCAAGAUAGCUAUUGUGACAGAAUAGAAAAGAAUGUCAUUUUUAGGAGAAUAGCAAUCUCUCUGUGUGUAUCUUUUUCCUUUCUUUGUAGUAGCUAGAACAGUGGUUCUCAAGGCAUGCUCCAGACCAGCAUGUUUAUUACUUGGGAACUUGUCAUAAACACAAAUUACUGGGUACUACCCCCAUCUACUGAAUUAGAGAUUCUGGCAACAAGAUUCUGGCAACUUGUGUUUUAAGAAGCCCCCCAGGCAAUUCUGGUGCAAGUUAAUGUUUGAGAACCAUUGGUCUAGAAUGAUAUCUUCCAUAUACCGGGUGUUAAAAAAUUAUUUGUUUAUAACAUGCAUAAACAUUGUUAAAAAGAGAUAGAAGAGCCUUGAAGUUGAUGAGUUGCUAUGAAAGGCACUGUGGAAACCCCUAAAAACCUUGUUGAAUUAGAAUUCUUUCCACAAAAAGACCGUCUUCCUAUGGGAGGGUCUUCAGGUUAAGAGUGGAUCUGCCUCAUCAUCUGCACCCAGAACUUUUCUUUGCAGCAUCUUCUGGGACAGCCCUAACUCCAGUAAUAGCCCCUGGAUACUAGUCAAGGAAUUUGCAAGGAGUUUUGGCUUGGGAGUAGCUGUGAGGAGCCUGAGCUGGACAGGUAGGAGAUGGAUAAUGUUAUUUUAGGUAGCCACCAUUCAUCAUAAUCUUACAUGUUAGUCUGGCUGAGGCUUAAGUUACAUCACAGGCACACUAGCACAGAUAGAACAAAGUAUUUUUUUCCACACCACUCUUAAUACUAUAUAAGACUUUAUUCCCAACAGAAUGGUUUAAAAGGACAGAAAGAAACUCUUCCUUGGUGCUUCAGAUGUCAGUGUAAUCUUCAAUUUAUGAUUAAGACUAGUAGAUAGCAGGCAUCAUAAGCUCAUAAUUAGAAUCAUACAAGAAAUAUGUUUCUUGUGGCUAAUAUAAGAGCAGGAUAGUGAUUUUGAUGUGAUUUUUAUAAGGUACCCCAGUCUGUUGACCCUAAUUGUUUCCCUAAGAGGGUCAUGAAACAUGACCCACAAAUCCAUCCCUCUUCAUUCAUCUUAAAAAAGGAUGACUUCAUAUUUAUAGGAGAGCCCUCGACCUUAGAUGAUGUAGUAAAUAUAGUCAGGGAAAAGCACCUUAUUGCAAUUAGCAAGUUGAGAUUUCAUGAGGGUGCUAGUGAGUAAUCAUGUAAACCUUAACUAGGGAAUAGCAUUAUAAUGCUUCAAAAAUACCAGAUUCAUGAGGUUAAGAAGUCCUGAAGGCAAAUGACAUGUCUCAGAGCCACUAGCCUCCCACUCCCAGGGGUUGAGGUCAUCAACUUUCCAAAACUGAAUUAACAUUUUGGUCUUUGUUCUUAAUGUCUAAGUAUUGUUGAACAAAUCUUUGAACAAGAGAACUGAAAAGCUGGGUAAGUCACCCUCUGGAAUGCCUGUGAGGUUAGUAAGAGAUUACCUGCAUAUACCCUUGCACUGGAGAACUGGCUCAGAGAAUAUUAGCACAAGGAGCUUUAAACAUGAGAAUUGUUAAUAAUUCUACCUGGCAUUAGUGUGGUCUGGGGUUUCUCAGUGAACUUUCCAUUCUAGAGAAACUCUGUUAAAAACUGAACAGUCCCCGAAAUGGUUAAAGACUACUCAAGGUAAAGGAAAAGAAUAAAGUGUGGCUAUUUCCUGCAAAAUAUUUCCUUCCACCCACCUAUCCAUAGGAACUGGUAUGAAACAAAAGUAAAAGAAUGAAAGGCCUUGAACACAGGUAUUUAGGCUCUCUUGGAGUCAGCUGCUGUUGUACUUGGCUACAGGCUGUUGGACAGCUGCUGAGGACAGUGGAUUCUGACAUCUUCUGAGAGGAAACCAACCCAGCCAGUUCUCACUGGUAUAGUUCAGAACACCCACAAUGGGAAUGUGACAGGGAAGGUCCUCCAGGCCCAAUAUCGCUGUAGGACUUGGGGGUUUGAGAGCAGAUCAUGGACCUUUUGUGGACAGCAAGGAAAACAGGUCCAUGCUAGGCUGUGCUGUAAGCUUUAAUUUUUUUCAGGACUACUGGAGCAUCUGAGUGAAGGUAGCAGGGAAAGGAGAAGAGAGUGGGCAUUCUUAGCGGGUCACAGCAAAUUUUAUUGUAUUUCAGAUGUUGUGUGUAAAACAUAUCCAUCCUAAAGACUAACUUAUCUAGGCAAGAAUUAGGCGACUAUUGAGCAAGAAUUUCUUGAGAUGAGAGUGGUUGGUGGUCAGUGGUUGAAGUCAGUAAGUUAUAACUAGAACUUGAAAGCAAUCAGGGAGUCCCACUGUGGUUGGAACCAAGUGUAACCUAUUUAAAAUGCUAGGCCCACACUCUUGGAAGCAUGCAAAGUGAAGACCUUCCACGACUUCCCUUUUCAUGUUCUACAUUUUGAUGUCUACAGAGAAUCCAAGGCACAUGCCUUGACAUCCUAUCUCUUUUCCGGGGGGCUAUAUUUCCCAGAUGUCUCAAAUUAAGCACUAAGCGCUUUGAUUUCAGAGACUUCAGGAUACCCAAGGAGUGAAAAAAAAUGGAGAAUAGAACUUUCAGCUAAGUGUAAUGUUUUCUCUCACCGUAAUUAAAAUGUGGAAUGUCUUCAGGGUGAGAACACAAAUAGAAGUGAAUAACCCUGACUAUUUGAAAUGUCUCAUUUUAUAAAGUUAAGGACCCAAGAAUGAACAAAUAAAAGAGUUGCCAAAUACUGACAUAAUCUCUGAAUCUAUGUAAUUCUUUUAUGUUCCCCACCAUGACCGUGAGUAAGAAAGUAGUUCCAAGAAACCAUCCUAUGACUCUCUACUCACAAAAUCUUCAGAUAUGAAGGCCAAAAUCCAUAUACAAUAUCUAAGGCCUUCUGAAACUUCAAAGCCUAAAACCUCUGCAGCUUUAGCUCUCAUCACAUUUAUAGUUUCCCAGUGUGGCCAGACCAUGAUGAGCACUCAGUACAAAAGCAUGUAAAAUAAAGUCUCCUGGCUGGAUAAUACCACAUCUUUAAAGAACCAUUCAGGGCUACAAACACUCAGCACUCUCCUUCUUCCCCAGACAAAACAGUUACUAUUGUAUGCUUCUAUAAUAGUACCCAUGAAACUUUGAGCUUUUUAUGCAAGAACAAUAUCAUUCCAAUUUGCAUCCUAGGAUGCUAGAACUUAGCAUAGCCCCAGGUAUUCAUAAAGUAAACAGUAAAUAUUGAAUGCACGAGUGAAUGAAUGAAUGAACAAGUAGCCAAAAUGCAAGCAUGUAUAGUGCCUUAGCUAAGAGAACUUUGUAGAACCAAGACCAGGACCAAAAAUUAAACACACAAGUUUAAGCCCCUGCUUUCCUCAAACCCCCCCCCCCACAAAUGCUAUGUUACAUGAAUCCAUUUAUUCUUUGUUUAGCAUUGAAUAUCUAUAGCUAUAUAUAAAGUGAACGCCUGGUGAGUGGGUGGGUGGUGGUGUUCACUCUUGUUUAGUGGAAUGUGAAUAUGUCAGAAUAACAGAAAAUAGAAAGAAAGAGGUUUAUUCAAAGCUGUCAGUUCUCAUGCCUGUUUUAAAAAUCUGAGAUGGUGCCUAGAUAGUUCAAAUUUAAUAUUCAUAUCCACUUUAUCAUAUCAAAUAUGAUCAUUAGCAAACAGUGUUUGAAUGGUAGCUGUUUCCUGACUGACAAUAGCCACCCGGUGGUAUCCACUUUCCCAUGUGCCUGGGACUGAUACAGUUCAGAUAGUCUGGAAAACAGUGGGAGGAAGGAAGUAAUUAAAAAUAAAGGGGAAGCUUGGGGCAAAGGAUAAACAUCAAUUUUAUCUCACACAAGAAUAUUCCUAUAUUUGUUCUCUUAAAAAUUAUAGGUGGAGACAGAAAUACUAUUUUUAAACCUAUUUUAUAUCCUCAAACGGGAAUGUAGUCUUGCCCAUAGAGGGUCAGGAAAUCCUGAGGAUGGGCACUGGUGUUCAAAAUAAGCUGACAACUGUAGGGUUAGAAAACAGAAAGAAAUUAGCUCUAGAAUACCACGGAAGUGGAUGAAGCUAGAAAAGCGGACAGUGGUACUAUUAUAAAUUCAGAGGCCCAAGCAACAUUUUAUAAUAGGUUGACUGCCCCCAUCCACUCAAAGAAACACUUCACUGUCACCAGCAAUACCUGUACCAUGUUGGGCAGGGGACAGGGGUGAGUGAGUAGGAGACAGACCUGGCUGUCAGGGUCUGUAAGCACUGUAGAAUCUUCAGGCAGCAGCUUUACCCAGAAAGUUCGAAGAAAAGGUGUUCAGCAAUAAUUUAUAAACACUAAAGAACCAAAGUAAGAAUGCAUUCUUAAUUUUAGGACUGGUUUCAAAAACUGUCCUGUUCAUUACAUUCCUAUCCAACUUAUUUUGAUCAUUCACCUAAAUUAUGUUUCCCAGACAUCCCCUACCUCCAGUUAGGUGGGUCGUGCAGUGAGUUGUGGCCAAUUGAAUAUGGAAAGAAGUGGUUGAUGCCAUUUUCCAGGCCUGGCUCAGGAUCACCUACUGUCUCUUUCCUCAUCCAUAGACUGAAUGUGGAGGAACCUGGGACUCUAGAGAUGGAAAAUGCCCCAAGACAGAUAGAGUCUAGGUCACCUUAUAUGAACUACUCAUAAGGCAGCCUACCAAACAAGAGGGUCCCUCCCUGCAGCCAUUUGGAUUUUAUGCCCUUCUACAAAGCCAUUGAGAUCUGGAGUUUAUCCAUUACAAUAGAGAUAAAGCUGCUGCUUCCAACCCUUUCACAAAAAUGACUCAGAUGGUCUCAUGUACCAUGUCCUCCCAUGGCCUCUGUCACUCUCAGGAGCAUCUUCUUGACAUUCCCUCUCCCAUUUGGAGCAUACAAGCCAACCGUUUAUUCAGAAUGUCAAAAACUCAUUUAUGGCUAGAAUAGCAAUGACAUUUAAAUAGCCAAAGAAUCAACAGAGUAAUUUUUGGAGAAAAGGUAUGAAGAAUUGAGGGAACAUGAUGAGCAAUGCUUUUAGUCACCAUGGCGUUCUUUUAUUCAUUGAUGCACACAUAUAAUUUCAGUUAAAGUGCCAGGUCCAAUUGCAUGUAGCUUUCCCUGUGGUUCCUGAAAGCACUGUGAUUUUACUAGCAUAAUGGAGAUGUUUAAACAGCUUUGGGCUCUCAAUUUUAAGCUGGGAUGUUGAAGUGAGCUUAAUAAACAAAUAAAUAGAUGAAUAAUGAACCUUUGUAUGCUUGGAGUAUAAUCAUAGGAUGCUGGAAGUUCAUUAGGGACUGGGGAGCAAAUAAAAAUGGGACUCUGGUGAGUAAAGAAUUUCCUCAAGAUCCUGUUGCAUAUUUGAAUCUUAAUCUAGCUACACAUUCCGCUUUUUUACCCAUAUAAUGAAUUAGAACGUAGAACUCCAGUCCAGAGAAAGAGUAACCUAAAAGACUGAUGUUUUCCCCAGGUGCCUUCUGCCUAUCACUUGCCUUCAAUUUAGCUUCUUCUAUUGCUUCUAUCUAAAAAUAAAGAGGAAAUUCUUUUUUCAGAAACUGUGAUUCCCUGGCUUACUGUGUUUCCUUACUUUUCCAUCUCUACUCUGGCAGCCCUAGCCAUUUAGUAAAUAUAAAGAUAAAAGUUCAUUUAAGAGCAGAAUCACUCGGGAUUACAGAGUAAAGGAAACAGGUGUACCUGCCCAUGCAGUUGAGGGAACUAGAAGGAUGGUCUUCAACUAAGAGAUCCUCACUGAACGACUUGAGGAAAGGGAAAGGAACUCUGUCUACUCAAUCUUGCCUGGAGUAGCUGGUGAACUGUUAGAAACAGAAAAACAUACUGCAAGUUCCUCCUUCCUAUCUAAUGUUCAGAAAAAUUCCCUAGUGUCUUGAGUGGCCCAACCCCCAGCACAGCAUGGUAAUGGUCAUCAAAUGCUAAGCCAUGUUUUCACCGGUACCUCUUCUCUCCUUUCAUAUAUAUAUUUUUUGAACUUCCUUUUGGAUUAGGACUCUUCCUCCCCCUGCCCAUUCAUGUACCUCAUGUCUAUUGUUUUCUAGAAGGUUUCCUACUCACUACUUUUAUCUUUUUUCUCAGAGAGACCCUAGACAAUUGUUUCACCCUAAGGUGGAGGAAAGAUCCCUGGGUGACAGUUUGAAGAAAUAUUUUCCAAGACAACAACCCAAUAUAAGUUAUAUUAUAGCUUACAAGUAUAUUCACUUCCCUGGAAGAACCCCAGCCUACUGAUAUCAAGCUCAGCUGUAUGAUGCGCUUGAGCUAAUACAAUGUGAGCAUACAUGAUACAUGCUAUCACCUUCCAGAAGCUUUGGAAGGCACUGUGAAAGUCUGCCAGUUCUUUUGCUCCUGCCUCCUCCUAUGAAAAUGGCAGAUCUCACAGAGAUAUUUCUUCUUUAUUCUGGACCCAGGAAUAAAAAGACACUUGGAGCAGAGCCAAAUGGAAUAAAGCAGAGACAAAACAUCUGCAGCCACCACUAUAUAAUGUAGUCUGUUGUAAGCCUCUAGGAUUUGGGGUUUCUAUAUGAAUGCAGCAAAACUGACUAAAAUAUCCCCUGACUAGAGGCAUUAGAAAUGGAUUUUGUGAAUGACAAAUGAACUUUAUUGGGUUAAGCCCCUAAGGUUUUUGAGUUAUGUUAAAACUACUAUUACCCUCGUAUAAUAAUUCCUCCCCGCUUUCAAUACGUUAGAACACCCAUUAGCCCCUCAAACAGAAGAGCUAUAAUGACAUAAAAGGGAAAUUCUCAAGAUCAUAAAACUGGGUAGGAUUAAAAGGAUCCAGUUUGAAAUUUCUCCAAAAAGCUGGACAGUGGUGAUCAUCCACCACCCCCAUUUUCUGUAAGUCGUCACAUUACAAGCAGAGAAUAGCAGUGUUAGCCUCUAUCUUUGUAAUAGCCACAUAGAUAAACUUGAAUUUUCUUUUUACCUUUACCCUAAUUUAUUCCCAGAUUUGCUAGGUA